CGGCCCAGAACGUCUCCUUCACGACGUCGAGUCAUAGAAUUAAACGUGCCUUUUUUUAGAACGACGACAACCAACACCCAAUGAAAUUCAUCGCCACAAUUGAUUGGGAUGUACACUUCGUCACUAAAUACCAAGGUAAGCCAGAUGGAAUUCUAAAACCUUUGAUGAUGUUGAUUAAGCAUUCCUCAUUUCGGGAAAAUUUCGG
Molecule: long non-coding RNA, 205 nt
Filed under: Capsicum annuum
Lineage: Eukaryota; Viridiplantae; Streptophyta; Magnoliopsida; Solanales; Solanaceae
Description: long non-coding RNA (CANN_LNC008193)
Source: RNAcentral